AGUGAACGCUGGCGGCAGGCCUAACACAUGCAAGUCGAACGGACGCACAGUAAGAGUGCGCCUCUAAGGGUGGCGAGUGGCGGACGGGUAAGGAAUACAUCGGCUACUACUUUGUCGGGGGGGAUAACGUAGGGAAACUUCUGCUAAUAGCGCAUAUGAUCUACGGGAGAGUGCAGUGGUUAAACGGGCCUUGCGUGAUAGAUUGAGACGAAGUCGGAUUAGCUAGUUGGCGGGGUAACGGCCCACCAAGGCGACGAUCCGUAGCUGGUCUGAGAGGGUGAUCAGCCACACUGGAACUGCGACACGGUCCAGACUCCUACGGGAGGCAGCAGUAGGGAAUCUUCCGCAAUGGGCGCAAGCCUGACCGAGCCAUGCCGCGUGAGUGAUGAAGGCCUUCGGGUUGUAAAGCCCUUUUAUUAGGGAAGAACAACUGUGUAUUUAACCCCCCCCGUUUUGACGGUACCCAAUCAAAAAGCACCGGCUAACUUCGUG
This 492-nucleotide ribosomal RNA is filed under the name uncultured bacterium. RNAcentral describes it as "partial 16S ribosomal RNA". It matches the Rfam family "Bacterial small subunit ribosomal RNA", at positions 29 to 507 of the family's 1533-position model. The record is from RNAcentral.